Molecule: ribosomal RNA, 306 nt
Filed under: uncultured bacterium
Lineage: Bacteria
Description: partial 16S ribosomal RNA
Rfam family: Bacterial small subunit ribosomal RNA
Source: RNAcentral
GACAGCAGUAGCCGCGGUAAUACGCAGGUGGCAAGCGUUGUCCGGAAUUAUUGGGCGUAAAGGGCUCGCAGGCGGUUUCUUAAGUCUGAUGUGAAAGCCCCCGGCUCAACCGGGGAGGGUCAUUGGAAACUGGGAAACUUGAGUGCAGAAGAGGAGAGUGGAAUUCCACGUGUAGCGGUGAAAUGCGUAGAGAUGUGGAGGAACACCAGUGGCGAAGGCGACUCUCUGGUCUGUAACUGACGCUGAGGAGCGAAAGCGUGGGGAGCGAACAGGAUUAGAUACCCCCGUAGUCCCUGUCUCUUAUAC